UGGGGAAUUUUGGACAAUGGGGGCAACCCUGAUCCAGCAAUGCCGCGUGAGUGAAGAAGGCCUUCGGGUUGUAAACUGCUUUUGUACGGAACGAAAAAGCUCCUUCUAAUACAGGGGGCCCAUGACGGUACCGUAAGAAUAAGCACCGGCUAACUAUGUGCCAGCAGCCGCGGUAAUACGUAGGGUGCGAGCGUUAAUCGGAAUUACUGGGCGUAAAGCGUGCGCAGGCGGUUAUGUAAGACAGAUGUGAAAUCCCCGGGCUCAACCUGGGAACUGCAUUUGUGACUGCAUGGCUAGAGUACGGUAGAGGGGGAUGGAAUUCCGCGUGUAGCAGUGAAAUGCGUAGAUAUGCGGAGGAACACCGAUGGCGAAGGCAAUCCCCUGGACCUGUACUGACGCUCAUGCACGAAAGCGUGGGGAGCAAACAGGAUUAGAUACCCUGGUAGUCCCUGAGCGGGCUGGCAAGGCGCAU
RNAcentral lists this ribosomal RNA (472 nucleotides) under uncultured bacterium. RNAcentral describes it as "bacterial SSU rRNA". It matches the Rfam family "Bacterial small subunit ribosomal RNA", at positions 355 to 825 of the family's 1533-position model. The record is from RNAcentral.